RNAcentral lists this ribosomal RNA (468 nucleotides) under uncultured bacterium. RNAcentral's name for it is "partial 16S ribosomal RNA". It matches the Rfam family "Bacterial small subunit ribosomal RNA", at positions 28 to 507 of the family's 1533-position model. The record is from RNAcentral.
GACGAACGCUGGCGGCGUGCUUAACACAUGCAAGUCGAACGAUGACGACCUAGCUUUCUCGGUCGGAUUAGUGGCGAACGGGUGAGUAACACGUGAGCAACCUGCCCUUCACUCUGGGAUAACCUCAGGAAAUCGGGGCUAAUACCGGAUAUGAGCUCCUGUUGCAUGGCGGGCGUUGGAAAGUUUCUCCGGUUGAGGAUGGGCUCGCGGCUUAUCAGUUUGUUGGUGGGGUAGUGGCUUACCAAGGCGUUGACGGGUAGCCGGCCUGAGAGGGUGACCGGCCACACUGGGACUGAGAUACGGCCCAGACUCCUACGGGAGGCAGCAGUGGGGAAUAUUGCACAAUGGGCGAAAGCCUGAUGCAGCGACGCCGCGUGCGGGAUGACGGCCUUCGGGUUGCAAACCUCUUUCAGCAGGGACGAAGCGAAAGUGACGGUAACUGCAGAAGAAGCGCCGGCUAACUACGUG